Molecule: ribosomal RNA, 702 nt
Filed under: Streptomyces sp.
Lineage: Bacteria; Bacillati; Actinomycetota; Actinomycetes; Kitasatosporales; Streptomycetaceae
Description: bacterial SSU rRNA
Rfam family: Bacterial small subunit ribosomal RNA
Source: RNAcentral
CCAUGCAGUCGAACGAUGAACCACUUCGGUGGGGAUUAGUGGCGAACGGGUGAGUAACACGUGGGCAAUCUGCCCUUCACUCUGGGACAAGCCCUGGAAACGGGGUCUAAUACCGGAUAACACUUCUGCUCUCAUGGGCAGGGGUUAAAAGCUCCGGCGGUGAAGGAUGAGCCCGCGGCCUAUCAGCUUGUUGGUGAGGUAAUGGCUCACCAAGGCGACGACGGGUAGCCGGCCUGAGAGGGCGACCGGCCACACUGGGACUGAGACACGGCCCAGACUCCUACGGGAGGCAGCAGUGGGGAAUAUUGCACAAUGGGCGAAAGCCUGAUGCAGCGACGCCGCGUGAGGGAUGACGGCCUUCGGGUUGUAAACCUCUUUCAGCAGGGAAGAAGCGAAAGUGACGGUACCUGCAGAAGAAGCGCCGGCUAACUACGUGCCAGCAGCCGCGGUAAUACGUAGGGCGCAAGCGUUGUCCGGAAUUAUUGGGCGUAAAGAGCUCGUAGGCGGCUUGUCACGUCGGGUGUGAAAGCCCGGGGCUUAACCCCGGGUCUGCAUUCGAUACGGGCUAGCUAGAGUGUGGUAGGGGAGAUCGGAAUUCCUGGUGUAGCGGUGAAAUGCGCAGAUAUCAGGAGGAACACCGGUGGCGAAGGCGGAUCUCUGGGCCAUUACUGACGCUGAGGAGCGAAAGCGUGGGGAGCGAAC